Molecule: ribosomal RNA, 281 nt
Filed under: uncultured Gammaproteobacteria bacterium
Lineage: Bacteria; Pseudomonadati; Pseudomonadota; Gammaproteobacteria
Description: partial 16S ribosomal RNA
Rfam family: Bacterial small subunit ribosomal RNA
Source: RNAcentral
UGAGGAAGGUGGUGUAGUUAAUAGCAGCAUGAUUUGACGUUAGCGACAGAAGAAGCACCGGCUAACUCCGUGCCAGCAGCCGCGGUAAUACGGAGGGUGCGAGCGUUAAUCGGAAUUACUGGGCGUAAAGCGCAUGCAGGUGGUUUGUUAAGUCAGAUGUGAAAGCCCGGGGCUCAACCUCGGAAUAGCAUUUGAAACUGGCAGACUAGAGUACUGUAGAGGGGGGUAGAAUUUCAGGUGUAGCGGUGAAAUGCGUAGAGAUCUGAAGGAAUACCGGUGGC